UCUCGUUUGUUUGCGUUCCCGUUAAUGAGGUUUGGCGUUCCCUUGGGUUCUCGUUCAUUUGGGUUGUCAUUAAUUAGGGGUUCCCAUUAAUUUAGGCACCCGUUAAUGGUGGUUCCCAUUAAUUGGAGGUUCCCAUUAAUUGGGGUCCCCCCUUGACUUGGGUUGCCGUUGAUGUGGGUUCUCUUUCAUUUGCAUUUCCAUUCCUGUCAUUUGCCAUUAUCGUGGGUUCUCAUUAAUUUGGGUUCUCGUUCAUUUGGACCCCUGUUAAUAUGUUUCCCAUUAAUUUGGGCCCCUGUAAAUUGGGUUCCCAUUAAUUUAGGCCCCCAUUAAUUGGGUUCCCAUUAAUUGGGGAUCCCAUUAAUUGGCGUCCCCCCUUCACUUGAGCCGCCAUCGAUGUGGAUUCUCAUUCAUUUGCAUUCUUGUUAAUGCCAUUUUUCAAUAUCUGGGUUCUUGUUAAUUUGUAUUCUCAUUAAUUUGGGCACCCGUUCAUUGAGAUCCCAUUAAUUGGGGUUCCCGUUAAUUGGGGUCCCCCCUCCACUUGGGCCACUGUUGACAUGGAUUCUAAUUGGUUUGCGUUUCCUUUCAUGUCGUUUGCCAUUAACUUGGGUUCUCAUUAAUUUGGGUUCUUGUUCAUUUGGGCCCCCGUUAACUAGGUUCCCAUUAAUUGGGGUUCCCGUUAAUUGGGGUCCCACCUCGACUUGGGUUGCCGUUGAUGUGGGUUCUCAUUCGUUUGCGUAUCGAUUCAUGUCAUUUGCCAUGAACUUGGGUUCUCUUCAAUUUGGGUUCUUGUUCAUUUGGGCCCCCGUUAAUUGGGUUCCCAUUAAUUUAGGCCCCCAUUAAUUGGGUUCCCAUUAAUUGGGGAUCCGAUUAAUUGGGGUUUCCCCUUCACUUGGGCUGCCGUUGAUGUGUGUUCUCGUUCAUUUCUGUUCUUGUUAAUGAGGUUUGCCAAUCACUUGGGUUCUCAUUAAUUUGGGUUCUCACUAAUUAGGGGUUCCCCUUAAUUUAGGCCCCCAUUAAUUGGCGUUUCCCGUUAAUUGGGGAUCCCCCUUGACUUGGGUUGCCGUUGACGUGGAUUCUCGUUCAUUUGCGUUUCCAUUCAUGUCCUUUGCCAUUAACGUGGGUUCUCUUCAGUUUGGGUUCUUGUUCAUUUGGUCCCCCGUUGACUGGGUUCCCAUUAAUUGGGGUCCCCAUUAAUUGGGUUCCCAUUAAUUGGGGAUCCCGUUAAUUGGCAUCCCCCCUUCACUUGAGCCGCCAUUGACGUGGGUUCUCGUUCAUUUGCGUUUCCAUUCAUGUCCUUUGCCAUGAACUUGGGUUCUCUUCAGUUUGGGUUCUCGUUCAUUUGGGCCCCUGUUAAUUGGGGUUCCCGUUAAUUGGGGUUCCCGUUAAUUGGGGUCCCCCUUGACUUGGGUCAGCAUUGACAUGGAUUCUCGUUUCUUUGCGUUUCCAUUUGUGUCAUUUGCCAUUAACUUGGGUUCUCUUCAAUUUGGGUUCUCGUUCACUUGGGCCCCCGUUGACUGGGUUCCCAUUAAUUGGGGUCCCCAUUAAUUGGGUUCCCAUUAAUUGGGGAUCCCAUUAAUUGGCGUCCCCCCUUCACUUGAGCCGCCGUUGACGUGGAUUCUCAUUCAUUUGCAUUUCCAUUCAUGUCCUUUGCCAUGAACGUGGGUUCUCUCCAAUUUGGGUUCUCGUUCACUUGGGCCCCCGUUGACUGGGUUCCCAUUAAUUGGGGUUCCCGUUAAUUGGGGUUCCCGUUAAUUGGGGUCCCCCCUUGUCAGGGGGAGCUGCGCAUCAGCGUCCUGCCCGCCGCGCUCUCCUACGACGCGCCGUGGCCCGUCCGCAAGAUCCCGCUGCGCUGCACCGCGCACUACGUCGCCUACCACGUCGAGUCCAAGGUGUACGCGGUGGCCACGAGCGUGAGCAACGCGUGCACGCGCAUCCCACGCAUGACGGG
This is a long non-coding RNA of Numida meleagris (helmeted guineafowl), 1948 nucleotides long. RefSeq lists it as uncharacterized. The record is from RefSeq and is a predicted model, not a curated record. NCBI's taxonomy places the organism in Eukaryota, Metazoa, Chordata, Aves, Galliformes, Numididae. The transcript has 2 exons.